RNAcentral lists this long non-coding RNA (236 nucleotides) under Setaria viridis. RNAcentral's name for it is "long non-coding RNA (SVIR_LNC010704)". Lineage: Eukaryota; Viridiplantae; Streptophyta; Magnoliopsida; Poales; Poaceae. The record is from RNAcentral.
GUCGAUGCAGUGAAGAUGAUCACGUAGUCGUACGUUGUCGAUCACGUCCAGCAGCUACUCAGCAGCUCGUCCACGUGCAGCAAGAUCGCCUCCGGUGCCGCGACUCGUCGUCGGCUCGUCGUGGCUCAUCGUCGGCUCGUUGAUGGCUCGUCCAAGUGCUGCAGGCGCAACACCUCCAAGGUAUCCACACAUGCAGGGAGGAAGCGUCGCAAGCCGGACUACUAGAUCCGCGAGUU